AGGGCACCACCAGGAGUGGAGCCUGCGGCUUAAUUUGACUCAACACGGGGAAACUCACCCGGCCCGGACACCGUAAGGAUUGACAGAUUGAUAGCUUUUUCAUGAUUCGGUGGAUGGUGGUGCAUGGCCGCUCUUAGUUCGUGGAGCGAUUUGUCUGGUUUAUUCCGAUAACGAGCGAGACUCUGGCCUACUAAAUAGUUGACGCAUUGCCACUGUGCGCACAACUUCUUAGAGGGAUUUUCGGUGUUCAACCGCACGAAAUUGAGCAAUAACAGGUCUGUGAUGCCCUUAGAUGUCCGGGGCUGCACGCGCGCUACACUGGCAGAAUCAACGUGCCUGUCCUCCCCCGAAAGGGGUUGGUAAACCGAUGAAAAUUUGCCGUGAUUGGGAUCGGACAUUGCAACUAUUGUCCGUGAACGAGGAAUUCCUUGUAGGGGCGAGUCAUCAACUCGUCCCGAAUACGUCCCUGCCCUUUGUACACACCGCCCGUCGCUGCCCGGGACUGAGCCAUUUCAAGAA
RNAcentral lists this ribosomal RNA (519 nucleotides) under uncultured eukaryote. Its description in RNAcentral is "SSU rRNA". It matches the Rfam family "Eukaryotic small subunit ribosomal RNA", at positions 1161 to 1705 of the family's 1831-position model. The record is from RNAcentral.